Molecule: long non-coding RNA, 328 nt
Filed under: Vitis vinifera (wine grape)
Lineage: Eukaryota; Viridiplantae; Streptophyta; Magnoliopsida; Vitales; Vitaceae
Description: long non-coding RNA (VVIN_LNC001099)
Source: RNAcentral
CUUUAAGUUAACUUCCAAUAUUCCACAGUGAUUCUUUGAUGGCCCAUUACUACUCAUGUAGCUUACCUUCUCUGAGCUACUUUGGAGACUUUGGUUGAGGGGUUUAUCCGGAUCCACAUUAUGACCUUGGCUGCCCUUCAAGUUUAGGUUAGAUUUCACUUGGGUGCACUUUAGGUUAGACUUAGUUAGGACCACCUAGUCUCUCCUUAGGCCCAUCUAGGUUCACUUAAGCCCUCAUAGGCACACUUGGCCUAUGAGACUUUUUUUUAACGUUUCUUGCAUGACUCACAUAGUCGCAUGACUUGCAUGGCCCGCAUAUGAUUGACCA